RNAcentral lists this ribosomal RNA (510 nucleotides) under uncultured bacterium. RNAcentral's name for it is "partial 16S ribosomal RNA". It matches the Rfam family "Bacterial small subunit ribosomal RNA", at positions 28 to 507 of the family's 1533-position model. The record is from RNAcentral.
GACGAACGCUGGCGGCGUGCUUAACACAUGCAAGUCGAACGAAGAGCGAUGGAAGCGUGCUUCUCUCAGUCUUAGUGGCGAACGGGUGAGUAACGCGUAAUCAACCUGCCCUUCAGAGGGGGACAACAGUUGGAAACGACUGCUAAUACCGCAUACGAUCGAAUCUCGGCAUCGAGGAUAGAUGAAAGGAGGCCUCUACAUGUAAGCUAUCACUGAAGGAAGGGUUUGCGUCUGAAUAGCUAGUAGGAGGGGGAACGGCCCACCAAGAGGAAGAACAGUAGCCCGUCUGAGACGAUGAACGGCCCCAUUGGGACUGGGACACGCCCCAGACUCCUCCGGGCGGCAGCCGUGGGGAAUCUUCCGCAAUGGACGGAAGUCUGACCGAGCAACGCCGCGUGAGUGCUGACGGCCUUCGGGUUGUAAAGCACUGUUGAUCGGGACGAAAGGCCUUCUUGCGAAUAGUGAGAAGGAUUGACGGUACCGGAAUAGAAAGCCACGGCUAACUACGUG